This 1140-nucleotide long non-coding RNA is filed under the name Cicer arietinum (chickpea). RNAcentral describes it as "long non-coding RNA (CARI_LNC002694)". The record is from RNAcentral. Lineage: Eukaryota; Viridiplantae; Streptophyta; Magnoliopsida; Fabales; Fabaceae.
GGCUGAAACAUGAAACAAAUGGGUUUGCCUUUUUUGUUUAUGAUGGGCCCAAAUUAAACCAAGUUUAAGAUAGCACAAAAAUAACUAAAAGAUACAGGUAACCCUAAAAAACCCUAGAUGCGGCCGCUGUUGUUGUUCACAGAAAACAAAAAGUAGAGCAUUGGAGAGAUAGAAGCAACAAAGAAAGAAGGAGAAGGAGACGAAAAGAUACCGAGAUGAGGCCGCGAGACGGAGAGGAGACCAAGGAGAAAGAUACGGUCGCUCCAAAAGGCACCGGUUCCGACGACAAUGGUCGCUCCAAAAGGCACCGGUUCCGACGACAAUGGUCGCUCCAAAAGGCACCGGUUCCGACGACAACGAUGACAAUAUGAAGGUUUGGGUUUUUCUCCUUUUGUCUAUUCUUUCGUUUUUACACACAAAUUGGAUAUUUUGUUAACUGUAAUGUUUGCUCUUCUGAUGAGUAUUAGUAUAUUUUCCUAUCAAUCAUCUCAUGUUUCAAAACAUUCAAACUAACAACUCUCUUUAAUUUUUUACCGAACUCGCCUCUACCUCUGCCUCUUUUUUUUUUUAUCAAACUUAAAAGAAGAUGUAUUUAUAGAGUCUUUUAUAUGUUUGGUCGUUUUCUGGUCUGUGCCACUGUUUGAAUUUGAGCUUUCCAAAUCCUUGUUUGAUGUUUUAAUUUGUUUGCUCAUCAUCUGUAUUUUCCUGCACCACUGAUGCCUUCAUAAAUUUAGAUUAUUUGUUUUGAUCUGUUGAUUUGCUGAGCUUAUUCAUUUGUCUUUUAGUUUCUUUUUUUUUUUUAACUCAAAAAUUUGUCAUUUAGUUCUGCAUAAUGUAUACAAAUACUGACUUAUAAAUUAUGUUUUUAUGUUUCUCUAAUUAGUUACAAAGCAAAGGUCAAUGACACUGCAUCUGAAACAGAAAGGCAGCAACAAAACAGAGCCAAACAUUGCAUCAGAAACAGAGAGGCAACAACAACAACAAAUUAUUGUAAUUUAAUUUAGUUUGAUUUAAAUCUUAUUGUAAUUUAAUUUGAUUUAAUAUUUAUGGUUACAAUUUGAUUGUAAUUGUAAUUUAAAAAUUAUAACUUGAUUUGGCAUUGUAAAUUGAUGAGCUACUUAUUGUAAACAUAAUUACUUC